UACGGAGGAUGCAAGCGUUAUCCGGAAUGAUUGGGCGUAAAGCGUCCGCAGGUGGCUAUGUAAGUCUGCUGUUAAAGAGUGAGGCUCAACCUCAUAAGAGCAGUGGAAACUACAUGGCUAGAGUGCGUUCGGGGCAGAGGGAAUUCCUGGUGUAGCGGUGAAAUGCGUAGAUAUCAGGAAGAACACCGGUGGCGAAAGCGCUCUGCUGGACCAUAACUGACACUCAGGGACGAAAGCUAGGGGAGCGAAUGGG
This 253-nucleotide ribosomal RNA is filed under the name uncultured bacterium. Its description in RNAcentral is "partial 16S ribosomal RNA". It matches the Rfam family "Bacterial small subunit ribosomal RNA", at positions 524 to 776 of the family's 1533-position model. The record is from RNAcentral.